CGUGGCUGACUGGUAAAGCGCUUGUCUUCCGAACUGGGGGUCACGGGUUCGAAUCCUGGCG
Non-coding RNA from Biomphalaria glabrata, 61 nucleotides. Lineage: Eukaryota; Metazoa; Mollusca; Gastropoda; Planorbidae. The record is from Rfam.